GCCGCGUGCAGGAAGACAGCCCUCUGGGUCGUAAACUGCUUUUAUUCGGGAAUAAACCUCAUUACGUGUAAUGAGCUGAAUGUACCGAAGGAAUAAGGAUCGGCUAACUCCGUGCCAGCAGCCGCGGUAAUACGGAGGAUCCAAGCGUUAUCCGGAUUUAUUGGGUUUAAAGGGUGCGUAGGCGGCUUUUUAAGUCAGGGGUGAAAGACGGUAGCUCAACUAUCGCAGUGCCCUUGAUACUGAAGAGCUUGAAUGGACUAGAGGUAGGCGGAAUGUGACAAGUAGCGGUGAAAUGCAUAGAUAUGUCACAGAACACCGAUUGCGAAGGCAGCUUACUAUGGUUUUAUUGACGCUGAGGCACGAAAGCGUGGGGAUCAAACAGGAUUAGAUACCCUGGUAGUCCACGCCCUAAACGAUGAAUACUCGCUGUUAGCGAUACACAGUUAGCGGCUAAGCGAAAGCGUUAAGUAUUCCACCUGGGGAGUACGGUCGCAAGAUUGAAACUCAAAGGAAUUGACGG
RNAcentral lists this ribosomal RNA (520 nucleotides) under uncultured Sphingobacteriales bacterium. RNAcentral describes it as "bacterial SSU rRNA". It matches the Rfam family "Bacterial small subunit ribosomal RNA", at positions 396 to 916 of the family's 1533-position model. Lineage: Bacteria; Pseudomonadati; Bacteroidota; Sphingobacteriia; Sphingobacteriales. The record is from RNAcentral.